This 1260-nucleotide ribosomal RNA is filed under the name Burkholderia gladioli. Its description in RNAcentral is "bacterial SSU rRNA". It matches the Rfam family "Bacterial small subunit ribosomal RNA", at positions 115 to 1380 of the family's 1533-position model. The record is from RNAcentral. Lineage: Bacteria; Pseudomonadati; Pseudomonadota; Betaproteobacteria; Burkholderiales; Burkholderiaceae.
ACAUACGGAACAUGUCCUGUAGUGGGGGAUAGCCCGGCGAAAGCCGGAUUAAUACCGCAACGAUCUACGGAUGAAAGCGGGGGACCUUCGGGCCUCGCGCUAUAGGGUUGGCCGAUGGCUGAUUAGCUAGUUGGUGGGGUAAAGGCCCACCAAGGCGACGAUCAGUAGCUGGUCUGAGAGGACGACCAGCCACACUGGGACUGAGACACGGCCCAGACUCCUACGGGAGGCAGCAGUGGGGAAUUUUGGACAAUGGGCGAAAGCCUGAUCCAGCAAUGCCGCGUGUGUGAAGAAGGCCUUCGGGUUGUAAAGCACUUUUGUCCGGAAAGAAAUCCUGAGGGCUAAUAUCCUUCGGGGAUGACGGUACCGGAAGAAUAAGCACCGGCUAACUACGUGCCAGCAGCCGCGGUAAUACGUAGGGUGCGAGCGUUAAUCGGAAUUACUGGGCGUAAAGCGUGCGCAGGCGGUUUGUUAAGACCGAUGUGAAAUCCCCGGGCUCAACCUGGGAACUGCAUUGGUGACUGGCAAGCUAGAGUAUGGCAGAGGGGGGUAGAAUUCCACGUGUAGCAGUGAAUGCGUAGAGAUGUGGAGGAAUACCGAUGGCGAAGGCAGCCCCCUGGGCCAAUACUGACGCUCAUGCACGAGAGCGUGGGGAGCAAACAGGAUUAGAUACCCUGGUAGUCCACGCCCUAAACGAUGUCAACUAGUUGUUGGGGAUUCAUUUCCUUAGUAACGUAGCUAACGCGUGAAGUUGACCGCCUGGGGAGUACGGUCGCAAGAUUAAAACUCAAAGGAAUUGACGGGGACCCGCACCAGCGGUGGAUGAUGUGGAUUAAUUCGAUGCAACGCGAAAAACCUUACCUACCCUUGACAUGGUCGGAACCUUGGAGAGAUCUGAGGGUGCUCGAAAGAGAACCGAUACACAGGUGCUGCAUGGCGUCGUCAGCUCGUGUCGUGAGAUGUUGGGUUAAGUCCCGCAACGAGCGCAACCCUUGUCCUUAGUUGCUACGCAAGAGCACUCUAGGGAGACAGCCGGUGACAAACCGGAGGAAGGUGGGGAUGACGUCAAGUCCUCAUGGCCCUUAUGGGUAGGGCUUCACACGUCAUACAAUGGUCGGAACAGAGGGUCGCCAACCCGCGAGGGGGAGCUAAUCCCAGAAAACCGAUCGUAGUCCGGAUUGCACUCUGCAACUCGAGUGCAUGAAGCGGAAUCGCUGUAAUCGCGGAUCAGCCAUGCCGCGGUGAAUACGUUCCCGGGUC